GACGAACGCUGGCGGCGUGCUUAACACAUGCAAGUCGAACGGAAAGGCCCCUUUGGGGGUACUCGAGUGGCGAACGGGUGAGUAACACGUGAGUAACCUGCCCUUGACUUCGGGAUAACUUCAUGAAACUGGGGCUAAUACCGGAUAGGAAUCCUUGCUGCAUGGUGGGGGUUGGAAAGCUUCGGCGGUUUUGGAUGGACUGGCGGCUUAUCGGCUUGUUGGUGGGGUAGUGGCUUACCAAGGCUUUGACGGGUAGCCGGCCUGAGAGGGCGACCUGCCACAUUGGGACUGAGAUACGGCACAGACUCCUACGGGAGGCAGCAGUGGGGAAUAUUGCACAAUGGGCGGAAGCCUGAUGCAGCAACGCCGCGGGCGGGAUGACGGCCUUCGGGUUGUAAAACGCUUUCAGAAGGGGCGAAGCUUGUGGUGACGGUACCUGCAGAAGAAGCACCGGCUAACUACGUG
RNAcentral lists this ribosomal RNA (465 nucleotides) under uncultured bacterium. RNAcentral describes it as "partial 16S ribosomal RNA". It matches the Rfam family "Bacterial small subunit ribosomal RNA", at positions 28 to 507 of the family's 1533-position model. The record is from RNAcentral.